Molecule: ribosomal RNA, 828 nt
Filed under: marine metagenome
Description: bacterial SSU rRNA
Rfam family: Bacterial small subunit ribosomal RNA
Source: RNAcentral
UAGAUAUUAUGAAGAAUACCGGUGGCGAAGGCGGCCUCCUGGAUCUGUACUGACACUGAGGUGCGAAAGCGUGGGUAGCGAACAGGAUUAGAUACCCUGGUAGUCCACGCCGUAAACGAUGACAACUAGCUGUUGGGAGACAAUGUCUUUCAGUGGCGCAGCUAACGUUUUAAGUUGUCCGCCUGGGGAGUACGGCCGCAAGGCUAAAACUCAAAUGAAUUGACGGGGACCCGCACAAGCGGUGGAGCAUGUGGUUUAAUUCGAUGCAACGCGAAAAACCUUACCUACUCUUGACAUACUUGGAAGCUCUUGUAAUGAGAGUGUGCCUUUUGGAACUAAGAUACAGGUGCUGCAUGGCUGUCGUCAGCUCGUGUCGUGAGAUGUUCCGUUAAGUCGGAUAACGAGCGCAACCCUUACCCUUAUUUGCCAGCGAUUCGGUCGGGAACUAUAAGGGGACUGCCGGUGAUAAACCGGAGGAAGGUGAGGACGACGUCAAGUCAUCAUGGCCCUUACGAGUAGGGCUACACACGUGCUACAAUGGGGAAUACAGACGGACGCUAAGCCGCGAGGUGGUGCUAAUCCUAAAAAGUUCUUCGUAGUCCGGAUUGGAGUCUGCAACUCGACUCCAUGAAGUCGGAAUCGCUAGUAAUCGCGAAUCAGCAUGUCGCGGUGAAUACGUUCUCGGGUCUUGUACACACCGCCCGUCACACCAUGGAAGUGGAUUGCACCAGAAGUAGAUAGUCUAACCUUCGGGAGGGCGUUUACCACGGUGUGCUUCAUGACUGGGGUGAAGUCGUAACAAGGUAGCCGUAGGGGAACCUGUGGCUG